UUUUUUUUGAUUCCACUGAACCUUUGGUCCUUGCUUAAUGAGCCACCUGCAGAUGAAGUGUUCUACCCUCCUCUUGUUCCAGGGCUACGCUGAUGGACCAGGCCGCGUGCAGCCCAAAGGCAGGGCUCCGCCUUUGGUUACAACAGGGCUCAGGAGCUGGGGAUUAUACAACAGAUGCCCUAUAUUCUGCUCACAUCCAAGCUUAGGGCUUUAUAAGUGUAAUCUUUGCUCAAGUAGGCAUGAGUGUUUGCGUACAUCUUUGGGUAACUUUCGCUUGUCGUCCUUAGGUGGUAACUGAUUAAUUGAGGAGGCAGGCCCUCCACAUGAGAACCAAAGGCUGUAUUUGGAAAAGGGUAGUCGAGGGACCACCUGUAUCAGUAUCUCUUGGGAUGUUUUAAUAAUGCAUAUUCCUGGGUCCUAGCCAGACUUGCUAAAUGAAACUCUCUAGAGGUGGGGCCUAGGAUCUGCAUUAUAGCAAGUGUAGAGGAGGCAAACUAAUUUUCCCUCAACUCUUCUGAGUUCUUAGCUGUGAUUCCUGUAAUAAAAGACAAAUCAAUAAGAGAAAAUGACCAGAGGGUUAUUAACACGACUAUCUCAUGUAUGCACAGGAGAUAUCCAGGAAAAACAUGGCUUGAUGAGCAGUGUGUAGGUCUACACCCAAGAUCUGAACCCACGAACCCUGGGCCACUGAAGCAGAGCACAUGAACUUAACCACUACACCACCAGGCCAGACCCUGGAGGAUAUGUCUUCAGGACAUAUCUGUUCGUCAAGAAAUAUCUCCUGUCAAGCAGCCUUUGAAAGAGAUUGCGGCUCAUGAUCUGAGAUCCCAGAAACACUCUCUGUCGUAAUGACUAAAAAAUUAAAAUGGACAUCAAAAGCCCUGAAAGCUAAACGAAAAGACAACUUUCACUGAGAAGAUGCGUUCUUGAGACCUAGACUUCUAACGAAGCACAGGAUAGCUAACAUAUCUGAAUCUCAGGAUUGUGCUUCAGAAACUCUCAUCUUCUAGGUCUGCCUCUAUUUGCUACUUUCUGACAAGUACUUGACCUCACGGCAUCUCCACUCCUGUCAAUCAAUCGAGAGCAACUAUGUUCAGUGCCGUCUAUGUCCUAGAGGUUCUCACCAUGAAGAAUUUGUAAAUAAAAAGUACUAUGAAAACGACAA
RNAcentral lists this long non-coding RNA (1165 nucleotides) under Equus asinus (donkey). RNAcentral describes it as "lncRNA (ENSEASG00005035373.1)". Lineage: Eukaryota; Metazoa; Chordata; Mammalia; Perissodactyla; Equidae. The record is from RNAcentral.